Molecule: RNA transcript, 1215 nt
Organism: Carya illinoinensis
Lineage: Eukaryota; Viridiplantae; Streptophyta; Magnoliopsida; Fagales; Juglandaceae
Exons: 5
Source: RefSeq, a predicted model, not a curated record
UAAGGAACACAAAUCUCUGUUCAAUCCUCACCCAAAGGCGAAAAUGUUGCAGGCUAUGGGACUGUCCUCUUUCAGCACCGUUUGUUCAGUGUCACGCGGAUCAAAGCUGAGAGCAAAGAAGAAACCUGAGUCAAAGCGAAGCCCGAGCAGUGUCGGCUUCAGCAGCAGGAGGAAAGAGCUGUUGUGGCGGUGCGUUGAGGGCUGUGGGGCCUGCUGCAAGUUAAAAAAGGGUUCCUCCUUUGUCACCCCUGAAGAAAUCUUCAGCGACCCGGUCGACAUUGAGCUCUACAAAAGCUUAACAGGUCCAGAUGGAUGGUGUAUACACUUUGACAAAGGCACACGAACAUGCUCCGUUUACAACGGUGAAGAUCUAGGUGGUCAAAACCUUCAUCAGUAUCUAUCUUUGAACACUUCUGAACCUUUGUUCGUUAUUUUUUCUUUGGCAGAUCGUCCUUACUUUUGUCGUGUAGAGCCAGAUGUAUUUGAAUCAUUAUAUGGUGUUAGCAAGAAGAAUUUUAACAAAGAUGCCUGCAGUUUUUGUAGGGACACCAUCAAGGAAAUUUAUGGUUCCAAUUCGAAGGAGUUUGAUAACUUUAAUUGUUCAAUAAGGAGCUCGGGUUUUAGUUAGAUCGCACUUCCUGCUCAAAAUGCUAAAGGUGGAUCCUUUCCAAAAUUCAAUGAGAAGGGGGUGGCGGGGGUUACUUAUCAUGUGUACAUUGUGUUAUGGAAGUUGCCUGCUGCACAAUUUGAUACGAACAUUGGUUCUGAGAUCAAUGAACUUUUUGGAUUCUCCAUUAGUUGAAGUGUCCAAGGUAGAGGAUCUGAUGAUGGUGAUAGUGGUAUGCAUGGUUUAUACUCCAAUCAGUGGAGGGAUGGUUAAUUUACUGCAGUUGUCAUUACUGGUGAGUCUCUUUUGAUUAUGAGUUGUGUAAGGUUUCAUGUGGUUUCUUCUUCAAUGGCUAUCUUUGCUGUUGUUGCCUCACCGAAGUUUGGGCUUAAGCUGAGUGACAAAGGUCUCCAUGUCAUCUCUGGAAAUUGGCUACAAAGGUGUGUAGAGACGAGGGGUUAGCAUUUGUGUACCACUUUUUGUUUUGUCUGUGUGUACCACCUGAUUUCUUAAGAACCAUAUACACUCUUUAGCUAAGAUGGCAAAAAUUCUGAAAGUGAUGACAGUCAUCUUUUCCGCUGUUAAUAUAGAAGCAAAAGUUCCAAGAU